UUGAACGCUGGCGGCAGGCCUAACACAUGCAAGUCGAGCGGAUGAAGGGAGCUUGCUCCUGGAUUCAGCGGCGGAUGGGUGAGUAAUGCCUAGGAAUCUGCCUGGUAGUGGGGGAUAACGUCCGGAAACGGGCGCUAAUACCGCAUACGUCCUGAGGGAGAAAGUGGGGGAUCUUCGGACCUCACGCUAUCAGAUGAGCCUAGGUCGGAUUAGCUAGUUGGUGGAGUAAAGGCCUACCAAGGCGACGAUCCGUAACUGGUCUGAGAGGAUGAUCAGUCACACUGGAACUGAGACACGGUCCAGACUCCUACGGGAGGCAGCAGUGGGGAAUAUUGGACAAAGGGCGAAAGCCUGAUCCAGCCAUGCCGCGUGUGUGAAGAAGGUCUUCGGAUUGUAAAGCACUUUAAGUUGGGAGGAAGGGCAGUAAGUUAAUACCUUGCUGUUUUGACGUUACCAACAGAAUAAGCACCGGCUAACUUCGUG
This 483-nucleotide ribosomal RNA is filed under the name uncultured bacterium. RNAcentral describes it as "partial 16S ribosomal RNA". It matches the Rfam family "Bacterial small subunit ribosomal RNA", at positions 30 to 507 of the family's 1533-position model. The record is from RNAcentral.